Molecule: long non-coding RNA, 1833 nt
Filed under: Podarcis muralis (Common wall lizard)
Lineage: Eukaryota; Metazoa; Chordata; Lepidosauria; Squamata; Lacertidae
Description: lncRNA (ENSPMRG00000001706.1)
Source: RNAcentral
AAUCCUCUCCUUCUGGGCUUUCCCUGGUGGGCUCUUGGUCAGGUGACUUUUGUGGGAUGUAAACACAGGAGCAGUCAAUGACAACAUUCCUAGAGUGUACAUGUUAAAACAUGGGAGGGAUGUCUGUCCAGCAAGCAGGUAAACUUCCUGGGGACGGACUUCCUCCACAUGUGACCAGAGGUGGGUGUGGCCUCACCUGUGCAGGUGAUGACAAAAGCACAGGGCAGGCAGCCAUCUCUCUCUCUCUGCCAUUUUUACUUUGAUGAAGAAACAUCUAAGGAUGCUCUCUUGGCUCCCAGCCAAGAGAGGAGAUAAGGCCUAUCUUGCUAUAAGAUAGAUUCUAAAUCUAUGUAACCUUUUCAAGCCUGUCUGCCGUCUGGGAUCAUAUUGUGAACAGAUCGUGAGUAAACUCUUUUAUACUUUUAUAAAGACUGUGUUGUGUCUUGUAUUUUAAGAGGGAAUAAAGGGGAAAUUACCAGAGUAAUUAUUAUAGAGGUUCUAGCGAACCUGUGCACACGUUACCGUUGCGUACUAAAGGGGAAUGUAUGUAAACUCUGCUGAUAUUUUGGGAACUUGUUAGCACAAGUCGGAUCAGGAUAUAAUUAGUCAAUAUAUCCUUUCCUGCACCCCAGAACAUUCCCACAAAGGGUUAGUGGCCCCAGUAUUGCAUAUUUCUGCGUAUUUUUGGAGGAUUGCAUUGGAUUGUGAUUUUGAGUUGAGUAGUAUUUUUCUGAGUUAACUUCCUGGUAAGCACAUGGUCCUUUGUUCCAUUGUGCAGUGGGGAUUAAGCAACCCACCCCCUUCCCUCAGAGUUCACAGUGACCCAAGGCAGUGAAGAAUUCUUUUGUAUUUUGAGAUUUUUGAGAUUUUGAUUUUAAAAUUUUGAGAAAUUUUGAAAUUUUGAAGAAUUUUCAAAUUUUGGAUUUUAAGAUGGCUAGAGCAGCUUUUGAUAGUGAUGCAAAGCUAGGAAUGCCUGUGCUGAAUGAGUACAAUUUCAUGCACUGGAAGCAGCGCUUGAUAGCAUGUUUGGAUUAUAAGCACAUUUUGGAAGCUUUAGAGCCUCAGCCUACAGGAUCGUCUGAGGGAGAUUUAGCCAAGAUAAGUGCUUGGAAACGCAUGAACAGCGAAGCUAGACACAUAAUUUUGAGUGGACUUCGUGAUGAGCAGCUAUCAUUAAUAAAUAGCACAGAUGAUGCAUCUCAAAUCUUAAGAGAUAUUGAGCGCGUGUAUGGAGAAUCUAGCAUAAACAGCUUCAGAAACUUGGUGUAUAAAUUAACCAGAUUGAGGAUGAAUUCAAAAGAGGAAUUCACAGAGCACAUCAACAAGUUUACUGAGAUUAUUCAAAGAAUUGAUCUGACUCCCAAAGCUUUUGAUGAGGAUACAAAGAUAGCUGUCAGGGAACUGACAUCGGAGGAAGGGGAGGGGGAAUUACUCACAGAGGCUGGGAGAGAGGGUACUCUGGAGGAGGAUCUCAUGAAUGCUGAGAGAGACGCAGCAGGCAAAGCAGGAACUAGCCGGGAAGAGGGAGGGAUGAGGGACACGUCCAGCGAGAACAGCGGGGAGGUGUCAGAAGCGCCCAUAGGGAGACCCAUGCUUCGCCGGAAGCUGCCACGUCGUGAGUCCAGGAGACGCGUUUCCGUUAAGGAGCUUCUAUGCUGGAAGCGCUUCCGCAGACAGCCACUGUCAGACUCUACGAGUGAUUAGAGCAGACAUGUCUGAGGAGCUCUGUCACACACAGAGGUUUGUGGAGUCGCACAAACUCCGAGGGAGCACGAUUUUACGCACAAGCAGCUAAUCAUCCCAUCACAGCAGUCUGACAGUCUCUGUACGCUG